AAGACUUUCAUGUCUGCUUCUCUUCCUUCUCCAUGAUCAAGUGCAGCAAGGCUUCUCUUAUGGCAAGGGUUUCUGAUUGCAAUGGGGAGGAAGCUGCAACUGACUUCGUGAACCCAACAAUCAAUAUUCCUCGGUCGUCUCGAACAACUCUGGCAAUCGACCCCUCCGACGAACCGGCAAGCCGGGUCAACUCACUCUCAAGCAUGCCUCGCCGGUCGACAAAUCAGGUAAGGCUCCAUCUACUUCACUCCGUAGCUUCUCUUUUAGGGGCGGUCGGCUGAUAUGAUUGCCCAAAAUUAUAUCAUUCUCCACGAUCGAAGUCGGAUUUGGUCUACGAUUUUGAAAUACCCACUUGUUGCGUUCCUUCCAUAUCAGCCUCAAAACACCCACAAUUUGCUCACUUGGUGCUGAGGUAUGACCUGCUCCCACUAGUUCAUGCGACCAUUUAUCUAUCCUGGUUAGAGUCGUUGGGGAUACUGUGAUGUUAAUUCUCGGACUUAACCAUAGACCUUUGGUCCGGUUGCACAGAAGGAAGAGAUGUUCCAACGUCUCUUGUGCGUGUCGGCACAUUGGGCAUAACAGGUUAGGUAAUAAUCUCCUCCUGUUCAAAUUUUCCUUUGUGGGUAGCGUAUUUUACGGUCUUGUACUUGAAAUGUUAAAAGAGUGAAUAAAUGUUUUG
This 679-nucleotide long non-coding RNA is filed under the name Eucalyptus grandis. Its description in RNAcentral is "long non-coding RNA (EGRA_LNC004921)". The record is from RNAcentral. Lineage: Eukaryota; Viridiplantae; Streptophyta; Magnoliopsida; Myrtales; Myrtaceae.